UCAUGAAUAUCACUGAGUCCUUGCAAAAGCAAGGAACGGGGGACCCAAUACAUCAUGAUGACGUGCGCUCGUGUGAGAGCGAGACCUGAUUCAUGUGGGGUGAAUCCUUAGACCACAACGCGUGUGGCGCUAAGGUAGGAUGACUCUCACCAUCCGAAUCCGACAGCUAACCUCGUAAGUGUAGGAGAGAGGAUGA
Molecule: small RNA, 196 nt
Filed under: Paenibacillus selenitireducens
Lineage: Bacteria; Bacillati; Bacillota; Bacilli; Caryophanales; Paenibacillaceae
Description: c-di-AMP sequence
Rfam family: c-di-AMP riboswitch aptamer (ydaO/yuaA leader)
About the family: This family represents a conserved RNA structure found upstream of the ydaO and yuaA genes in Bacillus subtilis and related genes in other bacteria.
Source: Rfam by way of RNAcentral